UCCGUGAUAGUUUAAUGGUCAGAAUGGGCGCUUGUCGCGUGCCAGAUCGGGGUUCAAUUCCCCGUUGCGGAG
RNAcentral lists this transfer RNA (72 nucleotides) under Saccharomyces cerevisiae (brewer's yeast). It matches the Rfam family "tRNA". Rfam says of the family: Transfer RNA (tRNA) molecules are approximately 80 nucleotides in length. RNAcentral also lists the same sequence under 1 other name. The record is from RNAcentral. Lineage: Eukaryota; Fungi; Ascomycota; Saccharomycetes; Saccharomycetales; Saccharomycetaceae.